CCUACGGUGGGCAGCAGUGAGGAAUAUUGGUCAAUGGGCGCGAGACUGAACCAGCCAAGUAGCGGGAAGGAGGACUGCCCUACGGGUGGUAAACUUCUUUUAUAAAGGAAUAAAGUGAGGAACGUGGGCAUUUAGGGAGGGACUUAAUGAAUAAGGAUAGGCGAAAUCCGGGCCAGCAGCCGCGGUAAUACGGAGGAUCCGAGCGUUAUCCGGAUUUGUGGGGUUUAAAGGGAGCGUAGAUGGGUUGUUAAGUCAGUUGUGAAAGUUUUCGGCUCAACCGUAAAAUUGCAAUUGAUACUGGCAGUCUUGAGUACAGUUGAGGUAGGCGGAAUUCGUGGUGUAGCGGUGAAAUGCUUAGAUAUCACGAAGAACUCCGAUUGCGAAGGCAGCUCACUAAACUGCCACUGACAUUGAUGCUCGAAAGUGUGGGUAUCAAACAGGAUUAGAUACCCGAGUAGUC
RNAcentral lists this ribosomal RNA (460 nucleotides) under uncultured bacterium. Its description in RNAcentral is "partial 16S ribosomal RNA". It matches the Rfam family "Bacterial small subunit ribosomal RNA", at positions 338 to 795 of the family's 1533-position model. The record is from RNAcentral.